RNAcentral lists this ribosomal RNA (1426 nucleotides) under Lactiplantibacillus pentosus. Its description in RNAcentral is "partial 16S ribosomal RNA". It matches the Rfam family "Bacterial small subunit ribosomal RNA". The record is from RNAcentral. Lineage: Bacteria; Bacillati; Bacillota; Bacilli; Lactobacillales; Lactobacillaceae. RNAcentral also lists the same sequence under 1 other name.
GUCGAACGAACUCUGGUAUUGAUUGGUGCUUGCAUCAUGAUUUACAUUUGAGUGAGUGGCGAACUGGUGAGUAACACGUGGGAAACCUGCCCAGAAGCGGGGGAUAACACCUGGAAACAGAUGCUAAUACCGCAUAACAACUUGGACCGCAUGGUCCGAGUUUGAAAGAUGGCUUCGGCUAUCACUUUUGGAUGGUCCCGCGGCGUAUUAGCUAGAUGGUGGGGUAACGGCUCACCAUGGCAAUGAUACGUAGCCGACCUGAGAGGGUAAUCGGCCACAUUGGGACUGAGACACGGCCCAAACUCCUACGGGAGGCAGCAGUAGGGAAUCUUCCACAAUGGACGAAAGUCUGAUGGAGCAACGCCGCGUGAGUGAAGAAGGGUUUCGGCUCGUAAAACUCUGUUGUUAAAGAAGAACAUAUCUGAGAGUAACUGUUCAGGUAUUGACGGUAUUUAACCAGAAAGCCACGGCUAACUACGUGCCAGCAGCCGCGGUAAUACGUAGGUGGCAAGCGUUGUCCGGAUUUAUUGGGCGUAAAGCGAGCGCAGGCGGUUUUUUAAGUCUGAUGUGAAAGCCUUCGGCUCAACCGAAGAAGUGCAUCGGAAACUGGGAAACUUGAGUGCAGAAGAGGACAGUGGAACUCCAUGUGUAGCGGUGAAAUGCGUAGAUAUAUGGAAGAACACCAGUGGCGAAGGCGGCUGUCUGGUCUGUAACUGACGCUGAGGCUCGAAAGUAUGGGUAGCAAACAGGAUUAGAUACCCUGGUAGUCCAUACCGUAAACGAUGAAUGCUAAGUGUUGGAGGGUUUCCGCCCUUCAGUGCUGCAGCUAACGCAUUAAGCAUUCCGCCUGGGGAGUACGGCCGCAAGGCUGAAACUCAAAGGAAUUGACGGGGGCCCGCACAAGCGGUGGAGCAUGUGGUUUAAUUCGAAGCUACGCGAAGAACCUUACCAGGUCUUGACAUACUAUGCAAAUCUAAGAGAUUAGACGUUCCCUUCGGGGACAUGGAUACAGGUGGUGCAUGGUUGUCGUCAGCUCGUGUCGUGAGAUGUUGGGUUAAGUCCCGCAACGAGCGCAACCCUUAUUAUCAGUUGCCAGCAUUAAGUUGGGCACUCUGGUGAGACUGCCGGUGACAAACCGGAGGAAGGUGGGGAUGACGUCAAAUCAUCAUGCCCCUUAUGACCUGGGCUACACACGUGCUACAAUGGAUGGUACAACGAGUUGCGAACUCGCGAGAGUAAGCUAAUCUCUUAAAGCCAUUCUCAGUUCGGAUUGUAGGCUGCAACUCGCCUACAUGAAGUCGGAAUCGCUAGUAAUCGCGGAUCAGCAUGCCGCGGUGAAUACGUUCCCGGGCCUUGUACACACCGCCCGUCACACCAUGAGAGUUUGUAACACCCAAAGUCGGUGGGGUAACCUUUUAGGAACCAG